This 510-nucleotide ribosomal RNA is filed under the name Pelophylax ridibundus (marsh frog). Its description in RNAcentral is "partial 16S ribosomal RNA". It matches the Rfam family "Bacterial large subunit ribosomal RNA", at positions 1926 to 2603 of the family's 2925-position model. Lineage: Eukaryota; Metazoa; Chordata; Amphibia; Anura; Ranidae. The record is from RNAcentral.
AACGGCCGCGGUACCCUAACCGUGCGAAGGUAGCAUAAUCACUUGUUCUUUAAAUAGGGACUCGUAUCAACGGCAUCACGAGGGCUAUACUGUCUCCUUUCUCCAAUCAGUGAAACUGAUCUUCCCGUGAAGAAGCGGGAAUUAUUGUAUAAGACGAGAAGACCCCAUGGAGCUUUAAACUCAAUAUAUACCUCUACGCAUUUAUAUCACUAUAGCCUAAGAAAAUUAUAUAUUAGUUUUGGGUUGGGGGGACCGCGGAGAAAAAAUUAACCUCCACGACAAAUAGGCCAACGCCUUUAUCUAUGAACCACAAUUCUAAGAAUCAAUAAACUGAUGUUUAUGAUCCAAUUUUUUGAUCAACGAACCAAGUUACCCUGGGGAUAACAGCGCAAUCUACUUCAAGAGCUCCUAUCGACAAGUGGGUUUACGACCUCGAUGUUGGAUCAGGGUAUCCUAGUGGUGCAGCCGCUACUAAAGGUUCGUUUGUUCAACGAUUAAAACCCUACGUGA